This is a non-coding RNA of Schistosoma rodhaini, 45 nucleotides long. Lineage: Eukaryota; Metazoa; Platyhelminthes; Trematoda; Strigeidida; Schistosomatidae. The record is from Rfam.
AUCCAGCUGACGAGUCCCAAAAAGGACGAAACGCGCGUCCUGGAU